This 470-nucleotide ribosomal RNA is filed under the name Streptococcus mitis. RNAcentral describes it as "bacterial SSU rRNA". It matches the Rfam family "Bacterial small subunit ribosomal RNA", at positions 28 to 483 of the family's 1533-position model. The record is from RNAcentral. Lineage: Bacteria; Bacillati; Bacillota; Bacilli; Lactobacillales; Streptococcaceae.
GACGAACGCUGGCGGCGUGCCUAAUACAUGCAAGUAGAACGCUGAAGGAGGAGCUUGCUUCUCCGGAUGAGUUGCGAACGGGUGAGUAACGCGUAGGUAACCUGCCUGGUAGCGGGGGAUAACUAUUGGAAACGAUAGCUAAUACCGCAUAAGAGUAGAUGUUGCAUGACAUUUGCUUAAAAGGUGCAAUUGCAUCACUACCAGAUGGACCUGCGUUGUAUUAGCUAGUUGGUGGGGUAACGGCUCACCAAGGCGACGAUACAUAGCCGACCUGAGAGGGUGAUCGGCCACACUGGGACUGAGACACGGCCCAGACUCCUACGGGAGGCAGCAGUAGGGAAUCUUCGGCAAUGGACGGAAGUCUGACCGAGCAACGCCGCGUGAGUGAAGAAGGUUUUCGGAUCGUAAAGCUCUGUUGUAAGAGAAGAACGAGUGUGAGAGUGGAGAGUUCACACUGUGACGGAUCUACC